This 84-nucleotide transfer RNA is filed under the name Gemmatimonadota bacterium. RNAcentral describes it as "Gemmatimonadetes bacterium tRNA-Leu". It matches the Rfam family "tRNA". Rfam says of the family: Transfer RNA (tRNA) molecules are approximately 80 nucleotides in length. Their secondary structure includes four short double-helical elements and three loops (D, anti-codon, and T loops). Further hydrogen bonds mediate the characteristic L-shaped molecular structure. tRNAs have two regions of fundamental functional importance: the anti-codon, which is responsible for specific mRNA codon recognition, and the 3' end, to which the tRNAs corresponding amino acid is attached (by aminoacyl-tRNA synthetases). tRNAs cope with the degeneracy of the genetic code in two manners: having more than one tRNA (with a specific anti-codon) for a particular amino acid; and 'wobble' base-pairing, i.e. permitting non-standard base-pairing at the 3rd anti-codon position. RNAcentral also lists the same sequence under 2 other names. Lineage: Bacteria; Pseudomonadati; Gemmatimonadota. The record is from RNAcentral.
GCUCGGGUGGCGGAAUUGGCAGACGCGCAGGAUUCAGGAUCCUGUGGGGGCAACCCCGUGAGGGUUCGAGUCCCUCCUCGAGCA